This 783-nucleotide ribosomal RNA is filed under the name Pezicula cinnamomea. RNAcentral's name for it is "eukaryotic LSU rRNA". It matches the Rfam family "Eukaryotic large subunit ribosomal RNA", at positions 109 to 909 of the family's 3401-position model. The record is from RNAcentral. Lineage: Eukaryota; Fungi; Ascomycota; Leotiomycetes; Helotiales; Dermateaceae.
UCAAAUUUGAAAUCUGGGUCUUUUAGGCUCCGAGUUGUAAUUUGUAGAAGAUGCUUUGGGUGCGGCCCCGGUCUAAGUUCCUUGGAACAGGACGUCAUAGAGGGUGAGAAUCCCGUAUGUGAUCGGUGGCUUGCGCCCGUGUAAAGCUCUUUCGACGAGUCGGGUUGUUUGGGAAUGCAGCUCUAAAUGGGUGGUAAAUUUCAUCUAAAGCUAAAUAUUGGCCAGAGACCGAUAGCGCACAAGUAGAGUGAUCGAAAGAUGAAAAGCACUUUGGAAAGAGAGUUAAACAGUACGUGAAAUUGUUGAAAGGGAAGCGCUUGCAACCAGACUUGCGCGGGGUUGAUCAUCCGGGGUUCUCCCCGGUGCACUCGGCCUCGCUCAGGCCAGCAUCGGUUUUGGUGGUUGGAUAAAGGCCUUGGGAAUGUGACUUCUUUCGGGGAGUGUUAUAGCCCUCGGUGCAAUGCAGCCUACCGGGACCGAGGACCGCGCUUCGGCUAGGAUGCUGGCGUAAUGGUUGUAAGCGACCCGUCUUGAAACACGGACCAAGGAGUCUAACAUCUAUGCGAGUGUUUGGGUGUCAAACCCAUACGCGUAAUGAAAGUGAACGGAGGUGAGAACCCUUAAGGGUGCAUCAUCGACCGAUCCUGAUGUCUUCGGAUGGAUUUGAGUAAGAGCAUAGCUGUUGGGACCCGAAAGAUGGUGAACUAUGCCUGAAUAGGGUGAAGCCAGAGGAAACUCUGGUGGAGGCUCGCAGCGGUUCUGACGUGCAAAUCGAUCGUCAAA